AGAGUUUGAUCCUGGCUCAGAUUGAACGCUGGCGGCAGGCCUAACACAUGCAAGUCGAGCGGUAGCACAGAGAGCUUGCUCUCGGGUGACGAGCGGCGGACGGGUGAGUAAUGUCUGGGAAACUGCCUGAUGGAGGGGGAUAACUACUGGAAACGGUAGCUAAUACCGCAUAACGUCGCAAGACCAAAGUGGGGGACCUUCGGGCCUCAUGCCAUCAGAUGUGCCCAGAUGGGAUUAGCUAGUAGGUGGGGUAAUGGCUCACCUAGGCGACGAUCCCUAGCUGGUCUGAGAGGAUGACCAGCCACACUGGAACUGAGACACGGUCCAGACUCCUACGGGAGGCAGCAGUGGGGAAUAUUGCACAAUGGGCGCAAGCCUGAUGCAGCCAUGCCGCGUGUGUGAAGAAGGCCUUCGGGUUGUAAAGCACUUUCAGCGGGGAGGAAGGCGAUAAGGUUAAUAACCUUGUCGAUUGACGUUACCCGCAGAAGAAGCACCGGCUAACUCCGUGCCAGCAGCCGCGGUAAUACGGAGGGUGCAAGCGUUAAUCGGAAUUACUGGGCGUAAAGCGCACGCAGGCGGUCUGUCAAGUCGGAUGUGAAAUCCCCGGGCUUAACCUGGGAACUGCAUUCGAAACUGGCAGGCUAGAGUCUUGUAGAGGGGGGUAGAAUUCCAGGUGUAGCGGUGAAAUGCGUAGAGAUCUGGAGGAAUACCGGUGGCGAAGGCGGCCCCCUGGACAAAGACUGACGCUCAGGUGCGAAAGCGUGGGGAGCAAACAGGAUUAGAUACCCUGGUAGUCCACGCCGUAAACGAUGUCGAUUUGGAGGUUGUGCCCUUGAGGCGUGGCUUCCGGAGCUAACGCGUUAAAUCGACCGCCUGGGGAGUACGGCCGCAAGGUUAAAACUCAAAUGAAUUGACGGGGGCCCGCACAAGCGGUGGAGCAUGUGGUUUAAUUCGAUGCAACGCGAAGAACCUUACCUGGUCUUGACAUCCACAGAACUUUCCAGAGAUGGAUUGGUGCCUUCGGGAACUGUGAGACAGGUGCUGCAUGGCUGUCGUCAGCUCGUGUUGUGAAAUGUUGGGUUAAGUCCCGCAACGAGCGCAACCCUUAUCCUUUGUUGCCAGCGGUCCGGCCGGGAACUCAAAGGAGACUGCCAGUGAUAAACUGGAGGAAGGUGGGGAUGACGUCAAGUCAUCAUGGCCCUUACGACCAGGGCUACACACGUGCUACAAUGGCAUAUACAAAGAGAAGCGACCUCGCGAGAGCAAGCGGACCUCAUAAAGUAUGUCGUAGUCCGGAUUGGAGUCUGCAACUCGACUCCAUGAAGUCGGAAUCGCUAGUAAUCGUAGAUCAGAAUGCUACGGUGAAUACGUUCCCGGGCCUUGUACACACCGCCCGUCACACCAUGGGAGUGGGUUGCAA
RNAcentral lists this ribosomal RNA (1420 nucleotides) under uncultured bacterium. RNAcentral's name for it is "bacterial SSU rRNA". It matches the Rfam family "Bacterial small subunit ribosomal RNA". The record is from RNAcentral.